This 166-nucleotide unclassified non-coding RNA is filed under the name soil metagenome. RNAcentral's name for it is "partial contains 5.8S ribosomal RNA, internal transcribed spacer 2, and large subunit ribosomal RNA". The record is from RNAcentral.
AACGCACGAGACCUGCGGACCUGCGGAGGGAUCAUUAGUGAACGCCCUCACGGGCUUAUAACUAUUCCAAACCUCUGUGAACCGUGCCCUUCGGGGCUAUUUUGCAAACAUGGUGUAAUGAACGUCAUAUAUCAUAACAAAACAAAACUUUCAGCAACGGAUCUCU